RNAcentral lists this ribosomal RNA (87 nucleotides) under Plasmodium yoelii. Its description in RNAcentral is "rRNA PY17X_MIT01200". Lineage: Eukaryota; Apicomplexa; Aconoidasida; Haemosporida; Plasmodiidae. The record is from RNAcentral.
AAAUAUAGUUACCAUAGCUGUUGAUGGAUGCUUCGAUAUAUAAUAUAUUAAAGUAUUAAUCGAGUUAACAUGCUCAGCCGCCAAAAA